AUGUUACUGCUGCAGGUUCUUAUUGUGACUUCAACAUGGUCUUAUGGAUAUACGCAAAUAACUCUGAUCCAAACUCCAUUGUCUGUCACCAGAGCGGUAACUAAAACUGCACGUAUGGGGUGUAUAAUUUCUGGCGAAGGUUUUAAUUUUAACAGUGCUUAUAUACACUGGUAUCGACAGAGCCCUGGGGAAGCUCCAAAGAGGAUUCUGUAUAUUGGAUCAGGAUCAGUUUCUAUGGAUGAAGGCUUCAAUAGCAAAAAGUUUACAGCUAGUAAUGAUGUUUCUGCAUUCACCGCUAAUCUCAGAGUAGACCAACUAACCCUAGAGGAUGCUGCUACCUAUUAUUGUGCCACCUGGGAUACCACAGUAGUAGUCUUUGGCACAGGAACUAAGCUAGUUGUUUCUGACUCCAGUUCAGUAAGGCACUUAAGCAUGUUUCUAUUCCUAAUCAGCAAAGAAUUUGAGCGUGUGUUUAACUUUAAGGCCAAAAUGCAGUAA
Molecule: non-coding RNA, 498 nt
Organism: Terrapene triunguis (Three-toed box turtle)
Lineage: Eukaryota; Metazoa; Chordata; Testudines; Emydidae
Source: the annotation of a RefSeq genome assembly